This is a non-coding RNA of Thalictrum thalictroides, 133 nucleotides long. Lineage: Eukaryota; Viridiplantae; Streptophyta; Magnoliopsida; Ranunculales; Ranunculaceae. The record is from the annotation of a GenBank genome assembly.
UUUUGUAAUCUUCCACAGCUUUCUUGAACUGCAUGGUAAUCUAUUUAGAUAAAAUUUUAAGCUUGUUCUUCAAGUACAUGGUGGUAUAUUGAUCGCCUUUGCGGUUCAAUAAAGCUGUGGGAAACUACAGAUA